GAGGGUAUAGCUCAACUGGUAGAGUGCAUGCUUAGCAUGCAUGAGGUCCUAGGUUCAAUCCUCAGUACCUCCA
This 73-nucleotide transfer RNA is filed under the name Camelus bactrianus (Bactrian camel). It matches the Rfam family "tRNA". Rfam says of the family: Transfer RNA (tRNA) molecules are approximately 80 nucleotides in length. Lineage: Eukaryota; Metazoa; Chordata; Mammalia; Artiodactyla; Camelidae. RNAcentral also lists the same sequence under 2 other names. The record is from Rfam by way of RNAcentral.